UACGUUCCCGGGUCUUGUACACACCGCCCGUCACACCACGAAAGCGGGCAACACCCGAAGCCGGUGACCCAACCUUAGGGAGGGAGCCGUCGGAGGUGGGGCUCGUGAUUGGGGUG
RNAcentral lists this ribosomal RNA (116 nucleotides) under uncultured bacterium. Its description in RNAcentral is "partial 16S ribosomal RNA". It matches the Rfam family "Bacterial small subunit ribosomal RNA", at positions 1367 to 1482 of the family's 1533-position model. The record is from RNAcentral.